GCAGCCGCCGCGGUAAUACAGAGGGUGCGAGCGUUAAUCGGAUUUACUGGGCGUAAAGCGUGCGUAGGCGGCUUUUUAAGUCGGAUGUGAAAUCCCUGAGCUUAACUUAGGAAUUGCAUUCGAUACUGGGAAGCUAGAGUAUGGGAGAGGAUGGUAGAAUUCCAGGUGUAGCGGUGAAAUGCGUAGAGAUCUGGAGGAAUACCGAUGGCGAAGGCAGCCAUCUGGCCUAAUACUGACGCUGAGGUACGAAAGCAUGGGGAGCAAACAGGAUUAGAUACCCCAGUAGUCCCUGUCUCUUAUAA
Molecule: ribosomal RNA, 302 nt
Filed under: uncultured bacterium
Lineage: Bacteria
Description: partial 16S ribosomal RNA
Rfam family: Bacterial small subunit ribosomal RNA
Source: RNAcentral